Molecule: ribosomal RNA, 313 nt
Filed under: uncultured Sinorhizobium sp.
Lineage: Bacteria; Pseudomonadati; Pseudomonadota; Alphaproteobacteria; Hyphomicrobiales; Rhizobiaceae
Description: bacterial SSU rRNA
Rfam family: Bacterial small subunit ribosomal RNA
Source: RNAcentral
GAAUAGCUCCGGGAAACUGGAAUUAAUACCGUAUGUGCUCUUUGGCGGUGGACGCUGGAGAGGAAAGAUUUAUCGGCAAAGGAUGAGCCCGCGUUGGAUUAGCUAGUUGGUGGGGUAAAGGCCUACCAAGGCGACGAUCCAUAGCUGGUCUGAGAGGAUGAUCAGCCACAUUGGGACUGAGACACGGCCCAAACUCCUACGGGAGGCAGCAGUGGGGAAUAUUGGACAAUGGGCGCAAGCCUGAUCCAGCCAUGCCGCGUGUGUGAUGAAGGCCUUAGGGUUGUAAAGCACUUUCACCGGUGAAGAUAAUGAC